GCCGACGUGGCGGAACCACGGAAGACGCAGCGGCCUCAGAAGCCGUCGCCCGCGAGGGCGUCUCAGUUCGAACCUGAGCGUCGGCACCA
RNAcentral lists this transfer RNA (89 nucleotides) under Inhella proteolytica. RNAcentral's name for it is "Inhella sp. 1Y17 tRNA-Leu". The record is from RNAcentral. Lineage: Bacteria; Pseudomonadati; Pseudomonadota; Betaproteobacteria; Burkholderiales; Sphaerotilaceae.